UCUAAAGCCAAACCUAAAUGAAUGCAUAAGGGAGGAUACCAGGGGUCUCUUGUACGGAGCCGAUUUACUGUGCCACCUCAGGCUCAGUCCUGGCAGGGUCUCCCUGAAGUCCUGCCCCCUGCUGCUCUGGACGGAAACCCCUGACUCCUGAACAGGGCCAUUACCUUCAAAGCCCAUAGCAAGCACUCCGUGAAGCCUCCACCCCUGUGGGAUCGAUGUCCCUCUCCUGCCCAGGACAUCCAGAACAUCUUGUCUGCCAGAAAUCAGCAUGCUUGGGCUGUAAUAUUCA
This is a long non-coding RNA of Herpailurus yagouaroundi (jaguarundi), 289 nucleotides long. RefSeq lists it as uncharacterized. The record is from RefSeq and is a predicted model, not a curated record. Lineage: Eukaryota; Metazoa; Chordata; Mammalia; Carnivora; Felidae. The transcript has 2 exons.